UCGACAACGCACAACAGAGAGAGAGGUGCGCACGGACGGUCUAGAUCACCGGAAGGCAGAACGCCAAAAAGGCAGGCUACUCUUAGAGGCUUAAUAAGUAAUAGAGAUUAGCUGUUAUUAUGGUUAUUCUCUGCAGCUGCUGUUGUAUUCUUUAGAUUGCCAGUUAGCAAUUUGCUCUUGAAUGCCGUUCUGGUUCAUUUGUGAACCUGAUGUCUUUAUCCUUGUAUGUACUGACUUGUGUAGCUGACCACAGGAAGCGAAGGCAUGCGACGAGGACGAGGUGCGCAUGAAUUCUAAACAUCUGGGAUUUCCGGAGAAAAAAAAAGGCCAUGCCCCGUCGUCUCACGGUACCAAGACCAAUUCCUCGUUUAGCCUGCAGUCUGGAGCCCAGCAAUUAACCCCGCUGGCCCUGGCCUCGCAGUGUGGGAUGGCGGAAAUCAUGGGAGAGAUCUGAAUUAGCAUAUAUUGAAAUCAAAUGUAUGUCACAAUCUAUAUCUUAAAAUAAUUUAAGCUUAUUUAAACUUUUUAUUCGGUUAAACUCAUUAUAGAUUAUAAUCUA
RNAcentral lists this long non-coding RNA (559 nucleotides) under Zea mays. RNAcentral's name for it is "long non-coding RNA (ZMAY_LNC003325)". The record is from RNAcentral. Lineage: Eukaryota; Viridiplantae; Streptophyta; Magnoliopsida; Poales; Poaceae.